Molecule: transfer RNA, 81 nt
Filed under: Desulfitobacterium hafniense
Lineage: Bacteria; Bacillati; Bacillota; Clostridia; Eubacteriales; Desulfitobacteriaceae
Also listed under: 4 other names
Description: Ala
Rfam family: tRNA
About the family: Transfer RNA (tRNA) molecules are approximately 80 nucleotides in length. Their secondary structure includes four short double-helical elements and three loops (D, anti-codon, and T loops).
Source: RNAcentral
GGGGAUGUAGCUCUAGCACUGUGGGAAAGCGCUUGCCUCGCAUGUAAGAAGUCGUGGGUUCGAAUCCUAUCAUCUCUAUCA